Molecule: ribosomal RNA, 421 nt
Filed under: uncultured bacterium
Lineage: Bacteria
Description: partial 16S ribosomal RNA
Rfam family: Bacterial small subunit ribosomal RNA
Source: RNAcentral
AUAUUGGACAAUGGGCGAAGGCCGGAUCCACCUAUGCCGCGUGUGUGACGUUGGUCUUCGGAUUGUAAAGCACUUUAUGUUGGGAGGAAGGGGUUGAAGCAAAAACCUCCAAUCUUUGCCGUUACCGACAGAAUAGGCACUGGCCAACUUCGUGCAAGCAGUCGCGGUACUACGAAGGGUGCAAGCGUUAAUCGGAAUUACUGGGCGUAAAGCGCGCGUAGGUGGUUUGUUAAGUUGGAAGUGAAAGCCCCGGGCUCAACCUGGGAACUGCUUUCAAAACUGGCAAGCUAGAGUAUGGCAGAGGGUGGUGGAAUUUCCUGUGUAGCGGUGAAAUGCGUAGAUAUAGGAAGGAACACCAGUGGCGAAGGCGACCACCUGGGCUAAUACUGACACUGAUGCACGAAAGCGUGGGGAGCAAACA